This 276-nucleotide long non-coding RNA is filed under the name Rattus norvegicus (Norway rat). Its description in RNAcentral is "long non-coding RNA NONRATT006970". The record is from RNAcentral. Lineage: Eukaryota; Metazoa; Chordata; Mammalia; Rodentia; Muridae.
GGCAUUUCCGCUGUCACCAUGUCUACCAGCAACAGCUGAUUGAGAAGCAGAAGAAGAAACUUGAGGAACAGCAGAAAACCAUUCAGAAGCUGAAGGCAAACCAGUGGUUGGCUGAGGCCCGGCAGGCAUCUGAACGUACCACAGCGGCUACAGGAGGACACAGCUGCAGUCAAUCAAAUCUCAGAGGAGCAGGGGACCUGCAGGGAACCUGCCAGAGACUUCUGAACCAUGGAAGAGAGAGCAAUUCAACGAGCUGAACGUAGGCAGAUCUUGGCA